Molecule: ribosomal RNA, 468 nt
Filed under: uncultured bacterium
Lineage: Bacteria
Description: partial 16S ribosomal RNA
Rfam family: Bacterial small subunit ribosomal RNA
Source: RNAcentral
GACGAACGCUGGCGGCGUGCUUAACACAUGCAAGUCGAACGGAAAGGCCCUGCUUUUGUGGGGCGCUCGAGUGGCGAACGGGUGAGUAACACGUGAGUAACCUGCCCUUGACUUUGGGAUAACUUCAGGAAACUGGGGCUAAUACCGGAUAGGAGCUCCUGCUGCAUGGUGGGGGUUGGAAAGUUUCGGCGGUUGGGGAUGGACUCGCAGCUUAUCAGCUUGUUGGUGGGGUAGUGGCUUACCAAGGCUUUGACGGGUAGCCGGCCUGAGAGGGUGACCGGCCACAUUGGGACUGAGAUACGGCCCAGACUCCUACGGGAGGCAGCAGUGGGGAAUAUUGCACAAUGGGCGGAAGCCUGAUGCAGCAACGCCGCGUGCGGGAUGACGGCCUUCGGGUUGUAAACCGCUUUCGCCUGUGACGAAGCGUGAGUGACGGUAAUGGGUAAAGAAGCACCGGCUAACUACGUG